CCUACGGGAGGCAGCAGUGGGGAAUUUUGGACAAUGGGCGAAAGCCUGAUCCAGCAAUGCCGCGUGAGUGAAGAAGGCCUUCGGGUUGUAAAGCUCUUUUGUCAGGGAAGAAACGGUGAGGGCUAAUAUCCCUUGCUAAUGACGGUACCUGAAGAAUAAGCACCGGCUAACUACGUGCCAGCAGCCGCGGUAAUACGUAGGGUGCAAGCGUUAAUCGGAAUUACUGGGCGUAAAGCGUGCGCAGGCGGUUUUGUAAGUCUGUCGUGAAAUCCCCGGGCUCAACCUGGGAAUUGCGAUGGAGACUGCAAGGCUAGAAUCUGGCAGAGGGGGGUAGAAUUCCACGUGUAGCAGUGAAAUGCGUAGAGAUGUGGAGGAACACCGAUGGCGAAGGCAGCCCCCUGGGUCAAGAUUGGCGCUCAUGCACGAAAGCGUGGGGAGCAAACAGGAUUAGAUACCCUGGUAGUCCACGCCCUAAACGAUGUCUACUAGUUGUCGGGUUUUAAUUAACUUGGUAACGCAGCUAACGCGUGAAGUAGACCGCCUGGGGAGUACGGUCGCAAGAUUAAAACUCAAAAGUAGUAGUACGGCGUGNGAGAGCGACGACGACGACGACGGAGGAGGAGG
RNAcentral lists this ribosomal RNA (624 nucleotides) under uncultured bacterium. Its description in RNAcentral is "bacterial SSU rRNA". It matches the Rfam family "Bacterial small subunit ribosomal RNA", at positions 338 to 956 of the family's 1533-position model. The record is from RNAcentral.